Molecule: long non-coding RNA, 387 nt
Organism: Acinonyx jubatus (cheetah)
Lineage: Eukaryota; Metazoa; Chordata; Mammalia; Carnivora; Felidae
Exons: 2
Source: RefSeq, a predicted model, not a curated record
UCAGAUGCCUGGCUGUUGCUCCCAGGAAAGCAGUCAUGUCAUAAUGGCUAAUAAUUGUUGCUUAAGAGUGUGUGCUUGCCUCAACUAAGAGCGUCCUCAGGUCAGGAGUGUGCAUGUGUCAGACAAUUCCAUCUUCCAGAAUCUUUUGCUCAAGAACAAAGUCUCAGGCAGGGUGAGAAGCUCCUGGUUCCAGCACAACCAAGAUGGUCUGGCCUAAGGCUUCAUUCAGGCUCAGCCUCACAGAUUCCUGGUUACCGGACCUCCCACAAGAUUGACAACAACACAGCUUUGCUCAGACAGUAUCAGACAUUUAUGAAACAAGUGAAUAUUCACAAAAUGUGGGAGAAACACACCUUCUCAGUAAGAAUAAAAUCUCUGUAUAAAGUG